GUGAACGCUGGCGGUAGGCCUAACACAUGCAAGUCGAACGGCAGCACCGGAGAGCUUGCUCUCUGGGUGGCGAGUGGCGGACGGGUGAGGAAUACAUCGGAAUCUGCCCAGUCGUGGGGGAUAACGUAGGGAAACUUACGCUAAUACCGCAUACGACCUUCGGGUGAAAGAGGGGGAUCGCAAGACCUCUCGCGAUUGGAUGAGCCGAUGUCGGAUUAGCUAGUUGGCGGGGUAAUGGCCCACCAAGGCGACGAUCCGUAGCUGGUCUGAGAGGAUGAUCAGCCACACUGGAACUGAGACACGGUCCAGACUCCUACGGGAGGCGGCAGUGGGGAAUAUUGGACAAUGGGCGCAAGCCUGAUCCAGCCAUACCGCGUGGGUGAAGAAGGCCUUCGGGUUGUAAAGCCCUUUUGUUGGGAAAGAAAUCUUUCAGGCUAAUACCCUGGGAGGAUGACGGUACCCAAAGAAUAAGCACCGGCUAACUUCGUG
RNAcentral lists this ribosomal RNA (489 nucleotides) under uncultured bacterium. Its description in RNAcentral is "partial 16S ribosomal RNA". It matches the Rfam family "Bacterial small subunit ribosomal RNA", at positions 29 to 507 of the family's 1533-position model. The record is from RNAcentral.